This is a long non-coding RNA of Suricata suricatta (meerkat), 486 nucleotides long. RefSeq lists it as uncharacterized. The transcript is spliced from 4 exons. NCBI's taxonomy places the organism in Eukaryota, Metazoa, Chordata, Mammalia, Carnivora, Herpestidae. The record is from RefSeq and is a predicted model, not a curated record.
GGAGACCAGGGAAAAGGAACAAUGAUUAGAAGAGGCACACCCUGGUAGAAAUUUUUCAAAGUGUUCAGUAACUGUUUCAUAAUGCCUGAAAGAGGAGUCUGGAAUCAAUUUGUAACUCCUUUUCAUGCCUUCCCACUCUGUGUACUUUUUGGAUGGGAAGUUUUAUGGUAACUACUAAUAGAAGAUUUGCCCUGGUUGGGUGAGCUGUGCUCCAGGUGUGUGUCUGUGAAGAAAUCAAUUAAUUAAUGUCUCAGUUUCAAAUGUACUAACUGUGAAAUCAGGAUACCUCUGGCAUUAACAACUGUAACAUCCAGUAACUUAUUGCCAACUUCUUGCAUCCAUCUCCUAAGCAUCCAGUAUGCAAAAAGAAGGUUGAAAACCACCAAAAGCAUCAAAGUAGAAAAGCUGCAAAGCCUUGAGGAAACAGCCUUCCUGUAUCAGGUUUUUAAAAAGUGAAUGGAAGUUAAAUCACAGAAUGAAUGAAUC